This 582-nucleotide ribosomal RNA is filed under the name uncultured bacterium. RNAcentral describes it as "partial 16S ribosomal RNA". It matches the Rfam family "Bacterial small subunit ribosomal RNA", at positions 355 to 932 of the family's 1533-position model. The record is from RNAcentral.
UGGGGGAUAUUGCACAAUGGGCGCAAGCCUGAUGCAGCCAUGCCGCGUGUGUGAAGAAGGCCUUCGGGUUGUAAAGCACUUUCAGCGAGGAGGAAGGUGGUGAGCUUAAUACGCUCAUCAAUUGACGUUACUCGCAGAAGAAGCACCGGCUAACUCCGUGCCAGCAGCCGCGGUAAUACGGAGGGUGCAAGCGUUAAUCGGAAUUACUGGGCGUAAAGCGCACGCAGGCGGUUUGUUAAGUCAGAUGUGAAAUCCCCGGGCUCAACCUGGGAACUGCAUUUGAAACUGGCAAGCUAGAGUCUCGUAGAGGGGGGUAGAAUUCCAGGUGUAGCGGUGAAAUGCGUAGAGAUCUGGAGGAAUACCGGUGGCGAAGGCGGCCCCCUGGACGAAGACUGACGCUCAGGUGCGAAAGCGUGGGGCAGCAAACAGGAUUAGAUACCCUGGUAGUCCAGCGCUGUAAACGAUGUCGAUUUGGAGGUUGUGCCCUUGAGGCGUAGCUUCCGGAGCUAACGCGUUAAAUCGACCGCCUGGGGAGUACGGCCGCAAGGUUAAAACUCAAAUGAAUUGACGGGGUCAUAGCUG